UACGUAGGGCGCAAGCGUUAUCCGGAAUUAUUGGGCGUAAAGAGCUCGUAGGCGGUUUGUCGCGUCUGCCGUGAAAGUCCGGGGCUCAACUCCGGAUCUGCGGUGGGUACGGGCAGACUAGAGUGAUGUAGGGGAGACUGGAAUUCCUGGUGUAGCGGUGAAGUGCGCAGAUAUCAGGAGGAACACCGAUGGCGAAGGCAGGUCUCUGGGCAUUAACUGACGUUGAGGAGCGAAAGCAUGGGGAGCGAACAGG
Molecule: ribosomal RNA, 253 nt
Filed under: uncultured bacterium
Lineage: Bacteria
Description: partial 16S ribosomal RNA
Rfam family: Bacterial small subunit ribosomal RNA
Source: RNAcentral